GCCCUCUAGGUGCUCAUGUGCUCUACUGCUCUGAGAAGCCCUUUCUGACUCAGAUCCUCCCAGAUCUGGGUGCUCCAUCCAUCCCACCCUCAUUACUUCCUGUUCUAGACUCCAUCACAGCAGCAGAAUUGCCAAGCAGGUGUCAGUCUCCAGAGUGAAUCCAAGGAAUGGAGCCCAGAAAUAGGUAUUUUGUGAUGCAGCUUUCAUGCAACCUGUCUUCUCUGAACCACAGCUCCAAUUCCCACGGUGUCUGCAUCUGGGACAAUCACAGAGAUUUUAUAGACUAGUAGUCAAGAUGAUCCUCAAGGCCUAUUACUCACUGGUCUAUUCAAGGAAGUGAUAUAAUUACUCCUCUAGGUACUAGCCAGUAAUAACAUAAACAAGAAAUAAGAAAAAUAAAUGAAGUAAGUAUA
This is a non-coding RNA of Ictidomys tridecemlineatus (thirteen-lined ground squirrel), 413 nucleotides long. The record is from RefSeq and is a predicted model, not a curated record. NCBI's taxonomy places the organism in Eukaryota, Metazoa, Chordata, Mammalia, Rodentia, Sciuridae.